ACGGAAGGCAGCAGUGGGGAAUAUUGCACAAUGGGGGAAACCCUGAUGCAGCGACGCCGCGUGAGUGAAGAAGUAUCUCGGUAUGUAAAGCUCUAUCAGCAGGGAAGAAAAUGACGGUACCUGACUAAGAAGCACCGGCUAAAUACGUGCCAGCAGCCGCGGUAAUACGUAUGGUGCAAGCGUUAUCCGGAUUUACUGGUGUAAAGGGAGCGUAGGCGGUUUGGCAAGUCUGAUGUGAAACCCCGGGGCUUAACCCCGGGCAUGCAUUGGAAACUGUCGGACUAGAGUGUCGGAGAGGAAAGCGGAAUUCCUAGUGUAGCGGUGAAAUGCGUAGAUAUUAGGAGGAACACCAGUGGCGAAGGCGGCCUUCUGGACGAUAACUGACGCUGAGGCUCGAAAGCGUGGGGAGCAAACAGGAUUAGAUACCCUGGUA
RNAcentral lists this ribosomal RNA (433 nucleotides) under uncultured Roseburia sp. RNAcentral describes it as "bacterial SSU rRNA". It matches the Rfam family "Bacterial small subunit ribosomal RNA", at positions 341 to 792 of the family's 1533-position model. The record is from RNAcentral. Lineage: Bacteria; Bacillati; Bacillota; Clostridia; Lachnospirales; Lachnospiraceae.